AUGUUGCUUACUUAUUGCUUUCAAUACGCACACACCAUGUUCUGCGUCAAAGAGCACAAAAUGCAUCUCUUGCCUAACAAUGGACAAAAUAUUUUGCUGAAAGAUUUGAUAAAAUUGACGUUUAACGAAGUUGGCAGAGAAAGACGGGUGGUGUGUCCGAAUGUACGGGAAGAAGGGUUCUCUGUGUUUGGUUUGAUAUCUGGGACGUGGGCUCAGUUUGAGUAUACUUGGUUCUUCAGCCAUGCCCACAGUGACCAAUACUGGAAUUUUGGGUUCACAGCUCUGCACGUGGUUACUCUGGAAAUGUGGCUAAAAGUGAAGAUGGCGAGUUAUAGCACACUCACUGUCCUGAUCUGUGGAUCAUUUCUCUUGUCCUACCGAGUCUUAGUGUCCUCCUGCUUUCAUAAAGUGGAGGAAUGCCUAACGUGAAUGAGGUGGAUCAAUCCUACGCUGAACCAUGGAUGCCUGCAGCAAGUGCAGCGAGAGAUUCUUCUUCUCCAGGUCAUUUAUGUGUGUCUGUUUUAAGGUAAAUUCAGCAGGUACUGCUGGUUUCCCAAGAUGCAGAUAAACCAUGAAAUUGCACUUCAGAAUAGAUUAUUCUGCUUGAUCUGUGUCUAGAAUCAAUAUAUUUUGUAUGUUUUUGCUUAUUUGUUGUUAAAUCAUAUCUUAUUUAGGAAGACUUGUGUGUAUGUGUGCUUCAGUAGUCACGACAAGUUCUUAAAAACUAAUAUUCAGCAUCAGCAGCCAGAGCCUGAGCGAGCUGGAUAUCUGGAGCUUUCCACCAAGUAUGUGCAUUAACUGCCUAGUGAUGCUGCAUUAGUGCCAGUUCCAAAAGAAAGAGGCUUUUGAUGGUUUGAAUCCCAGUCAUGCAGCUUGCCAUCAGUUGUUGGAGCCCAGAGGGAGCACAGUUGGCCUUGCUCUCUCUGGGUGGGUACAGUAGACUCCUAGGGGGAUGUGGAUCAGCACAGGGCUGCAUCUGUGAGCUGAUGUAUCGGAACCAAGUCGCUGCGCUUUCCUCCGAGUGUUAGCGCUGUGAUGCUACUCGGCAAUGUUGUAAUUGGCCUUAUAAAUUGGGGAGAAAAUGGUAUUAAAAAUUAUAAAUAAUUUUUGCUGGGAGUUUUGGGGCUCAACUGGCUAAGCUAAAUUAAUAAUAAGCUAAAUAAAUAAAUGUUCUUUUUAACA
RNAcentral lists this long non-coding RNA (1182 nucleotides) under Astyanax mexicanus (Mexican tetra). RNAcentral describes it as "lncRNA (ENSAMXG00005007162.1)". Lineage: Eukaryota; Metazoa; Chordata; Actinopteri; Characiformes; Acestrorhamphidae. The record is from RNAcentral.